This 450-nucleotide ribosomal RNA is filed under the name uncultured bacterium. RNAcentral's name for it is "partial 16S ribosomal RNA". It matches the Rfam family "Bacterial small subunit ribosomal RNA", at positions 354 to 796 of the family's 1533-position model. The record is from RNAcentral.
GUGGGGAAUAUUGGACAAUGGGCGAAAGCCUGAUCCAGCCAUGCCGCGUGUGUGAAGAAGGUCUUCGGAUUGUAAAGCACUUUAAGUUGGGAGGAAGGGCAGUAAGUUAAUACCUUGCUGUUUUGACGUUACCAACAGAAUAAGCACCGGCUAACUUCGUGCCAGCAGCCGCGGUAAUACGAAGGGUGCAAGCGUUAAUCGGAAUUACUGGGCAUAAAGCGCGCGUAGGUGGUUCAGCAAGUUGAAGGUGAAAUCCCCGGGCUCAACCUGGGAACUGCCUCCAAAACUACUGAGCUAGAGUACGGUAGAGGGUAGUGGAAUUUCCUGUGUAGCGGUGAAAUGCGUAGAUAUAGGAAGGAACACCAGUGGCGAAGGCGACUACCUGGACUGAUACUGACACUGAGGUGCGAAAGCGUGGGGAGCAAACAGGAUUAGAAACCCCAGUAGUCC